UACGGAGGGGGCUAGCGUUGUUCGGAAUUACUGGGCGUAAAGGGCGCGUAGGCGGCACCGCAAGUCGACUGUGAAAUCUCCGGGCUUAACCCGGAAAGGUCAGCCGAUACUGCGGGGCUAGAGUGCAGAAGGGGCAACUGGAAUUCUCGGUGUAGCGGUGAAAUGCGUAGAUAUGCGGAGGAACACCGAUGGCGAAGGCAAUCCCCUGGGCCUGCACUGACGCUCAUGCACGAAAGCGUGGGGAGCAAACAGG
This 253-nucleotide ribosomal RNA is filed under the name uncultured bacterium. RNAcentral describes it as "partial 16S ribosomal RNA". It matches the Rfam family "Bacterial small subunit ribosomal RNA", at positions 524 to 776 of the family's 1533-position model. The record is from RNAcentral.